UACGGGGGGAGCAAGCGUUGUUCGGAUUUACUGGGCGUAAAGGGCGCGUAGGCGGUCAGCACAAGUCAGUUGUGAAAUCUCCGGGCUUAACUCGGAAAGGUCAACUGAUACUGUGCGACUAGAGUGCAGAAGGGGCAACUGGAAUUCUCGGUGUAGCGGUGAAAUGCGUAGAGAUCGGGAGGAACACCAGUGGCGAAAGCGGCUCUCUGGUCCAAAACUGACGCUGAGGGGCGAAAGCGUGGGGAGCGAACGGG
This 254-nucleotide ribosomal RNA is filed under the name uncultured bacterium. Its description in RNAcentral is "partial 16S ribosomal RNA". It matches the Rfam family "Bacterial small subunit ribosomal RNA", at positions 524 to 776 of the family's 1533-position model. The record is from RNAcentral.